Molecule: ribosomal RNA, 492 nt
Filed under: uncultured bacterium
Lineage: Bacteria
Description: partial 16S ribosomal RNA
Rfam family: Bacterial small subunit ribosomal RNA
Source: RNAcentral
AGUGAACGCUGGCGGUAGGCCUAACACAUGCAAGUCGAACGGCAGCACAGUAAGAGCUUGCUCUUACGGGUGGCGAGUGGCGGACGGGUGAGGAAUACAUCGGAAUCUACUUUUUCGUGGGGGAUAACGUAGGGAAACUUACGCUAAUACCGCAUACGACCUACGGGUGAAAGCAGGGGAUCUUCGGACCUUGCGCGAUUGAAUGAGCCGAUGUCGGAUUAGCUAGUUGGCGGGGUAAAGGCCCACCAAGGCGACGAUCCGUAGCUGGUCUGAGAGGAUGAUCAGCCACACUUGAACUGAGACACGGUCCAGACUCCUACGGGAGGCAGCAGUGGGGAAUAUUGGACGAUGGGCGCAAGCCUGAUCCAGCCAUACCGCGUGGGUGAAGAAGGCCUUCGGGUUGUAAAGCCCUUUUGUUGGGAAAGAAAAGCAGCAGGUUAAUACCCCGCUGUUCUGACGGUACCCAAAGAAUAGGCACCGGCUAACUUCGUG